GAUUGCACGUAUCGAAGGAGAAGUCGUGUUUCAGAGCGGUUCAGUAGAAUAUAUUCUACGUUAAAAAUAUAUUUUCCUUUUAAAAUCAAAUAAAUAUUUUAUUCAAAUAUUAAAGGUGUGACGUUUAAUUGAAUAAUUAUUUAAUUUAAGAUUCAUUUUAUUUUAUUUAGUAAUUAAAUAAAUAUUUUUGUUUGGGAUUAAAAAUUUGGGAAUUAAUCUUUAAUUGGGUUAAACAUCAUAAUAUAUAUAUUAAGGAGAAGAGUCUAACAGUUAGGGAAAAAUUAUGUUUUGAUGCAUAUCGCUAAACGGCGCAUCUGAGUCUGGGGAGACCAUUUUGGGAAAGAUCCUGAGGCAGCAAUUUAGAGAGGAGACAGCGAUUUAGAGAGGGGGGAACAUCAAUACCUUGAUAUCUCAAUCGAUAAGGUAAGGGGGGAGAUUGCUUACUAUAUGGUGGGUUUUAGGCAGUAGAAUGAUGAGGGUUCUCUUACACUCUCAUCAACGUCAUGUUAUUGUUAUUUUUAUCUCUAUGAAAUGUUGGUCUGACCAUAUGGGGUUUGGACCAACCCCUUUGGUUUUUGGUUUUAUAGAAUAUGUUUUAUAUUAAAAUUUUGGUUUUAGGAGUCGAUCAUUGUUACAAUCUGUGCCCAAAUGGGAUAAUCCCAUUUGGUCACUUUUGGUGAUCAUAUGAUUAUCGAUAUGAUUUUUGUAUAGAUAAAAUGGUUUUUGGUGAUUUGUUAAUAAAAUUAAAUAUUGAUGUUAAACCACAGUAUGAUAUGAAAUUGCAUGUUGGUGAUAAACCCUUUUGGUCAAUUAUAUAUGAUAAUAUCUCAGAAGUGUUUAUAGAGAUAAUCUCAUUUGGUCACUCUUUGUGUUUUUUUAUGGUUCUGUUAACCGUAACCCCUUUUGGGGGAAAAUCUAAAAACUCUAAAAUUUGAGAAUUUGUGAUUGGGAAUGGUAUGAUGUAAGAAUUCUACAUUAGGAGGGCUGAUUGCACGUAUCGAAGGAGAAGUCGUGUUUCAGAGCGGUUUAGUAGAAUAUAUUCUACGUUAAAAAUAUAUUUUCCUUUUAAAAUCAAAUAAAUAUUUUAUUUAAAUAUUAAAGGUGUGACGCUUAAUUGAAUAACUAUUUAAUUUAAGAUUCAUUUUAUUUUAUUUAGUAAUUAAAUAAAUAUUACGUUUGGGAUUAAAUAUUUGGGAAUUAAUCUUUAAUUGGGUUAAACAUCAUAAUAUAUAUCUUAAGGAGAGUCUAACAGUUAGGGAAAAAA
RNAcentral lists this long non-coding RNA (1264 nucleotides) under Lathyrus oleraceus (garden pea). RNAcentral describes it as "Pisum sativum (pea) long non-coding RNA (PSAT_LNC021152)". The record is from RNAcentral. Lineage: Eukaryota; Viridiplantae; Streptophyta; Magnoliopsida; Fabales; Fabaceae.